UACGGAGGGGGCUAGCGUUGUUCGGAAUUACUGGGCGUAAAGCGCACGUAGGCGGCUUUGUAAGUUAGAGGUGAAAGCCCGGGGCUCAACCUGGGAAUUGCAGUGGAUACUGGCGAGCUAGAGUGCGGUAGAGGAUGGUGGAAUUCCCGGUGUAGCGGUGAAAUGCGUAGAGAUCGGGAGGAACACCCAGGGGGAAACCAGUCGACUGGGCAGCACCUGACGCUGAGGUGCGAGAGCGUGGGGAGCGAACCGG
This 253-nucleotide ribosomal RNA is filed under the name uncultured bacterium. RNAcentral's name for it is "partial 16S ribosomal RNA". It matches the Rfam family "Bacterial small subunit ribosomal RNA", at positions 524 to 776 of the family's 1533-position model. The record is from RNAcentral.